Molecule: long non-coding RNA, 570 nt
Organism: Gambusia affinis (western mosquitofish)
Lineage: Eukaryota; Metazoa; Chordata; Actinopteri; Cyprinodontiformes; Poeciliidae
Exons: 2
Source: RefSeq, a predicted model, not a curated record
AAGUUAAAUUUGAGGCGAGAGCUAGUUCUAGGCUUGUGUUAUGUUAACUGUUGUCAUAGCAACCCCAUAGCAACUGCAUGCCAAGAUGGCUGUCAAUUACAAAAUUCGUGAAAAGUGACCUCACAAGAAAACGCAUGUUUUUGUACUCACAGAAAAACAGCUUUGUUGCCAUGGCAAUAUGAAACCAACGACAGGCCUCACUGACCUCAGCUCGACACCGCGGGCCAAUGCCAGUCCGGAGAGUCGGCGGUGCGAACCCAGAUUAACGCAGCAGGACUCGGAACAAAAGGGAAACUUGUUUCUGUCGAGGAGUUUGGCUAUCAAUCUUCAAAAUCACUGUAAAACUAUUCACAUUUCACCCAUAACUGAACCAACUCACGUCGAUAAAAUGAAAGAGCAGCCUUGGUGUUCCUCCCACUAUUUGAUGGGAAUGCAGCAAAUUCUGAUCUGAACAGGCUUCCGUUGUCUUGAACAGACUGAAUCUGCAUGUUUUCAAUCCGCAUCUCCCUCGCUGCAUAAAGAGAUGUUGUGGAAAGAAACAAAGAACCCAUUAAAGCUAGAAAUGCGGUA